Non-coding RNA from Kogia breviceps (pygmy sperm whale), 693 nucleotides. Lineage: Eukaryota; Metazoa; Chordata; Mammalia; Artiodactyla; Physeteridae. The record is from RefSeq and is a predicted model, not a curated record.
UGUCACACCCUAGCGUCCUGGACGCUGGGGUCCCCCACCUGGCAGACGGGAGCAGUCAUCCUGAGGAAGAUGAAACUGGGGGAAUAACUGGUGUGUUUGCUCUAUUGAGAGGAGAUUUGAACCGCUGAAGGAGAGUUUGGGGCUAGAAGAAGGAUAAAUACCUAGAAAACUGAUCAAGAGGAAAAUAGGCGAGGGGCUUCCCUGGUGGUCCAGUGGGCAGCCCCUGCCCAUCACCGAGUCUCCUCGGCUGCUCUCUCGCCUCUGGUCCCAGACACUCCAAGGAUUCCCAGGGGUUUGCUUUCCACCAGGCACACAAUGGGAAAAGGAACCUGAUCGGCAGCCGUGGCAAAUCCUUACCAUCGCGCCACCACCUCUGCUGAAUAACCCAGGACCCCACGGCCUCCCGCAGCUCACGACAGGCAGCUGGGUGUUUGUGCAGGUGCCGACGUGUCCCCAGAUCCUACCACUGAGAAACUGGAACGCAAAACCAUGUGCACUAGGAUUUCCCGCUGUGUACUCAGACAAGCUCUGAAGGAUGGGACAGCUUGAAGGAGGGAGGCACCUGUCUUCUGAAGAGACGGGCUCCUGGGAUCACCGCCGCUUUGGUCUCCUAGGGCCACGUGUGCGGUCAGGAGGGAGCGGCCCUGCGUGUAAAGUGCUGGGGCGCCUGGCACGGCAGGCCCUGGAGCCGGG